UACAGAGGUCCCAAGCGUUGUUCGGAUUCACUGGGUUUAAAGGGUGCGUAGGUGGGUCUGUAAGUCAGUGGUGAAAUCUUCGAGCUUAACUCGGAAACUGCCAUUGAUACUAUAGAUCUUGAAUUUUCUGGAGGUAAGCGGAAUAUGUCAUGUAGCGGUGAAAUGCUUAGAUAUGACAUAGAACACCAAUUGCGAAGGCAGCUUACUACGGGAACAUUGACACUGAGGCACGAAAGCGUGGGGAUCAAACAGG
RNAcentral lists this ribosomal RNA (253 nucleotides) under uncultured bacterium. Its description in RNAcentral is "partial 16S ribosomal RNA". It matches the Rfam family "Bacterial small subunit ribosomal RNA", at positions 524 to 776 of the family's 1533-position model. The record is from RNAcentral.